CCCCUAGUAACGGCGAGUGAAGAGGGAAAAGCUCAAAUUUUGAAUCUGGUGUCUUUGGCGCCCCGAGUUGUAAUCUAGAGAAGUGUUUUCCGUGUCGGACCGUGUACAAGUUCCCUGGAACGGGGCGUCAUAGAGGGUGAGAAUCCCGUAUAUGCCACGGACUACCGAUGCUCUGUGAUACACUCUCAACGAGUCGAGUUGUUUGGGAAUGCAGCUCAAAAUGGGUGGUAAAUUCCAUCUAAAGCUAAAUAUUGGCGAGAGACCGAUAGCGAACAAGUACCGUGAGGGAAAGAUGAAAAGCACUUUGGAAAGAGAGUGAAACAGUACGUGAAAUUGUUGAAAGGGAAGCGUUUGAAGUCAGUCACGUUUGUUGGGAUUCAGCCUGGCUUCUGCCUGGUGUAUUUCCUUUCCAACGGGUCAGCAUCAGUUUCGACCGAGGGAAAAAGACAUUUGGAAUGUGGCUGUCUUCGGGCAGUGUUAUAGCCUUGUGUUGUAUGUCUCGGUUGGGACUGAGGAACGCAGCGCGCCAUUUUGGCCGGGGGUCGCUCCUCUCGACACGCGCUUAGGAUGCUGGCAUAAUGGCUUUAAGCGGCCCGUCUUGAAACACGGACCAAGGAGUCUAACAUGUGCGCGAGUGUUUGGGUGUUAAACCCGAGCGCGAAAUGAAAGUGAAAGGUCGGGAACAUUCAUUUGUGCACCGACGCCCGGAGCAGACCUUCUGUGACGCAUCCGCGGUAGAGCGUGUAUGUUGGGACCCGAAAGAUGGUGAACUAUGCCUGAAUAGGGUGAAGCCAGAGGAAACUCUGGUGGAGGCUCGUAGCGAUUCUGACGUGCAAA
Molecule: ribosomal RNA, 837 nt
Filed under: uncultured Sebacinales
Lineage: Eukaryota; Fungi; Basidiomycota; Agaricomycetes; Sebacinales
Description: eukaryotic LSU rRNA
Rfam family: Eukaryotic large subunit ribosomal RNA
Source: RNAcentral